UACGGAGGGUGCAAGCGUUAUCCGGAUUCACUGGGUUUAAAGGGUGCGUAGGUGGGUCUGUAAGUCAGUGGUGAAAUCUCCGGGCUUAACCCGGAAACUGCCAUUGAUACUAUAGGUCUUGAAUUAUCUGGAGGUGAGCGGAAUAUGUCAUGUAGCGGUGAAAUGCUUAGAUAUGACAUAGAGCACCAAUUGCGAAGGCAGCUCACUACGGAUAUAUUGACACUGAGGCACGAAAGCGUGGGGAUCAAACAGG
Molecule: ribosomal RNA, 253 nt
Filed under: uncultured bacterium
Lineage: Bacteria
Description: partial 16S ribosomal RNA
Rfam family: Bacterial small subunit ribosomal RNA
Source: RNAcentral